GUAGGUCAGGUGACCCGAGUGGCGGGCGGCGAGGGCGGGGCGAUGCUCAGGCCCCGCCCAUGGGCAUCCCGGGUCCUGGGGCUGGGCGGGCGCGAAGGCGAUGCCACUCCCUCUCAUUGCCAUCCCGGCUUUUGGAUGGGUUUAAGGCGCGAGUUGUCGGACUCCUAAGAAUUAUAGAUUUUUUUUUAUGUUCUAGUGAAAGCAAUGCAAAAUUGGAGCUGACCUUCAUCAUUAUCAAGCUGUGAGGCUCACUUCUGAUUUGCAGACCUGUACAGAGUGAACUGAGGCUUCCCAGGUGACUCAGUGGUAAAGAAUCUGCCUGCCAAUGCAGGAGAUGCAAGAAAUGUGGAUUUAGUCCUUGGGUCAGGAAGAUCUCCUGAGUAGGAAAUGGCAACGCACUCCAGUAUUCUUGCCUGGCAUGGACAGAGGAGCCUGGCAGGCAACAGUCCAUGGGGUCUCAAAGAGUCAGACACGACUGAGGACGCAUGCAACGACGGGGUGAGCUGAGGGUUGGGAGACCUGGCCCAAGUGUACCCCUCUGGAAAUGCGCACCCCGAUUGUUUAACUUUCUGAUUAUCUUAAGAUGGGCCGGGAAAUCCUUUCUUACCAACCUUUGCUGUUGAACGUUUGUCUCUUUAGCUUAUUUGUCCAGUUUCCUGCCAUAGCCAGCAGAAUGUAUAGAACAGACUGUUAGGCUGUCAGUUUCACGUUCCCAAGAGUCCUUGAAUAGUUCCCUUUCUGAUGGUGCCUCAAAGUCUCUGGUGGCUCCUGAUAGAGAUCCAGACCUUUCUCCUGUCUUCAAGGUCUGGCCUGAUGCCUCUGGCCACUGCUCCAGCCACAGUCCCAUCACACCUGCCCAUCCUCAGGCGUACUUUCUGGUCUCCCAGCUAUACCUGGUGUCCUCCAGCCUCUUCCCACUACUCUUCACAUGGUUAUCUCUUACUCUUCUUUGGUCUCAGCAAACAGCCAUUUUCUCAGGGAGGCCUUCCCUAACUUUCACACCCAGGUUAAGUCCUUUUACCCUCUCUCAGAGCCUUGUGCCCUUCCUUUGAUCACAACUCUUGGCAUUGCUGGAGUUUAUCGUAUGUCUGUUGCCUCCAUGUCAAUCCCCCUUCAUAAACAUUGUAUUCUGUGGCAUCAGCCAACGUGUUGUGUUAGUGUAGUGCCUGGCACUAAUAGAUGCUAGUGAAG
Molecule: long non-coding RNA, 1191 nt
Organism: Bos taurus (domestic cattle)
Lineage: Eukaryota; Metazoa; Chordata; Mammalia; Artiodactyla; Bovidae
Source: Ensembl